Molecule: ribosomal RNA, 265 nt
Filed under: uncultured bacterium
Lineage: Bacteria
Description: partial 16S ribosomal RNA
Rfam family: Bacterial small subunit ribosomal RNA
Source: RNAcentral
AAUGAACGCUGGCGGCGUGGUUAAGACAUGCAAGUCGAACGGUUUUCAUUGAAGGGCAACCGGAUAUGAAAGCAGUGGCGAACGGGUGCGUAACACGUGAACAAUCUACCUCCAAGUGGGGAAUAGCUCGCCGAAAGGCGAAUUAAUACCGCAUGUGGUCGGGGCUCGCAUGAGCCUUGAACUAAAGUCAGGGACCGCAAGGCCUGACGCUCGGAGAGGAGUUCGCGGCCUAUCAGCUAGUUGGCGAGGUAACGGCUCACCAAGG